This 301-nucleotide ribosomal RNA is filed under the name uncultured bacterium. RNAcentral's name for it is "partial 16S ribosomal RNA". It matches the Rfam family "Bacterial small subunit ribosomal RNA", at positions 509 to 807 of the family's 1533-position model. The record is from RNAcentral.
CAGUCGCCGCGGGAAUACGUAGGGUGCGAGCGUUAAUCGGAAUUACUGGGCGUAAAGCGUGCGCAGGCGGUUAUAUAAGACAGAUGUGAAAUCCCCGGGCUCAACCUGGGACCUGCAUUUGUGACUGUAUGGCUAGAGUACGGUAGAGGGGGAUGGAAUUCCGCGUGUAGCAGUGAAAUGCGUAGAUAUGCGGAGGAACACCGAUGGCGAAGGCAAUCCCCUGGACCUGUACUGACGCUCAUGCACGAAAGCGUGGGGAGCAAACAGGAUUAGAUACCCGCGUAGUCCCUGUCUCUUAUAC